UAGGGAAUCUUCGGCAAUGGACGGAAGUCUGACCGAGCAACGCCGCGUGAGUGAAGAAGGUUUUCGGAUCGUAAAGCUCUGUUGUUAGAGAAGAACGUUGGUAGGAGUGGAAAAUCUACCAAGUGACGGUAACUAACCAGAAAGGGACGGCUAACUACGUGCCAGCAGCCGCGGUAAUACGUAGGUCCCGAGCGUUGUCCGGAUUUAUUGGGCGUAAAGCGAGCCCAGGCGGUUCUUUAAGUCUGAAGUUAAAGGCAGUGGCUUAACCAUUGUACGCUUUGGAAACUGGAGGACUUGAGUGCAGAAGGGGAGAGUGGAAUUCCAUGUGUAACGGUGAAAUGCGUAGAUAUAUGGAGGAACACCGGUGGCGAAAGCGGCUCUCUGGUCUGUAACUGACGCUGAGGCUCGAAAGCGUGGGGAGCAAACAGG
This 429-nucleotide ribosomal RNA is filed under the name Bacillota bacterium. Its description in RNAcentral is "Firmicutes bacterium partial 16S ribosomal RNA". It matches the Rfam family "Bacterial small subunit ribosomal RNA", at positions 355 to 776 of the family's 1533-position model. Lineage: Bacteria; Bacillati; Bacillota. The record is from RNAcentral.